CCCCCGCGCUGCUUGCGGCGGGCACGGCGCGGAGGGACGGAUACCCGGGCCGCCCCGUCCCUUUCAGCCAACUUCAUGUGGAAAAGCGACACCUGGCGCUGGUUGUUCAAAGACCCCCGCACCGGGAGGGGAAGCGGGCAGGGAGAGCCAAGAGGACAGAGAUGCAACUGGACCUGGAGGCAGCGCGGAGGGCUGCAACAGGAUCCGCAGCAGCGGAAGCGACAGCGACAGUGAAUGAACUGAGAAUAUAAACCUCAAAUCGGUGCCUGGACUAAAGGACUGCGAUUGGGAACUACAAGAAUGCUUUGAAAAUGCUGAACUAAGGAUAUAAGAAAGAUGGGGAACAGCUCACAGCGCACAUGCUUCAAGAGUGAGAAAUCUCUCUGACACCAACUGCUGCUGUGCCCCAGCUAUCUCAAAAAGCUGGAAGAAACAGACUGUCUCUCUCGUCACCUGUUUGGUCAGAAAUCAUCACCUUAUAGGUUUUGCUAUUUUCCCUGCAGGGCCAUGCACCAAAGGGAAAAGAACCCCAGGAAGUACCCUCCACAGUGGAAUGGCAGAAGAUUCCCUCCAGAGCCACGGCUGCUCACAGCGGUGCAGUACCAGUUCCUAUAGUCCAGCUGGGGAACAGGUAUGAGGCCCUGGCGACAUUGGAGGUAGAGGAAGAAGAGGAGGAAACCUCUGGAGAGGAGGCCACUCCACGUACAGAACAGGUUGAAGGAGGCAAGUUGACCCGGAAGAAGAGACGCCGGGUGCUCAUUAUAGGUGACUCCAUCCUAAGAGGAACAGAGAGUCCCAUCUGUCGCCAGGAUCCCAUGUCACAUGAGGUCUACUGUCUGCCCGGAGUGAGGAUUCAGAAUGUGACAGAGAUGAUCCCAGCCAUUAUCCGGCCUACCGAUUACUACUCCAUGGUCCUAAUCCAUGCGGGCACUUAUGAUGCAGCCAGGAGCAGCCCUGAUUGCCUGAUGAAGGACUACCAAGCCCUGGGGAGCAAGCUGAAGGAGACAGGGGCACAGGUGGUCUUCUCAUCUGUCCUUCCAGUGAGCGGACAUGGACAACGCCAUGAGACCUGCAUCAGGGAGGUCAACUUGCGGCUUCGGAAAUGGGUGUCUCGAGGCAGGCUUCGGCUUUUUGGACCACAACCCAUACUUCAGGACAAGAGACAUGUUCAGGUGAGAUGGGCUUCACCUCUCCCCCAAAGGUAAGUGUGUGUUCUCUUUCAGGUUGGCUGAUCUCCUCUGGUGGGGUUUAAACUACACCCAUCAGGGGAAGGGGAAGAUGAGGAUAGAGGGAGCCACAGAACACCAAACCAAGAGACGCCCACAAGAACAGCCCAGCCAAGACAGGCGAUGAGCACAAGAAAUACCCAGGUAAGGGACAGGGGCCCAGAUAGUCCUGGGAUUAGGGGGGCGGUGCAUACACCUUCAGGAGGCUUUAAAUGCCUCUACCCUAAUGCUCGUAGUAUGGGGAACAAGCAGGAGAAACUUGCCCUCCUGCUAACUAACACAAACCUGCACAUAGUGGGACUCACUGAAACUUGGUGGGAUCCAGUGCAUGACUGGGCGGUAAACAUCAAGGGCUAUAGGCUAUACAGGAGAGACAGAACAGGGAGGAAAGGUGGGGGUGUGGUACUCUACGUCAAAGAGCAAUACACAUCUUCAACAAACAUCACUGGGUCAGAGAAGAGGCAGACUGAAGUGCUCUGGGUCCGAAUACAAGGGGGUCGGAGGGAAAGGGACUUAACGGUGGGGGUCUACUACAGACCACCCAACCAUGGGGAAGAGCUGGACCGGGAAUUCUCAGGUCAGCUCGCAGAGGCAGUUAAGUCAAGGGAUGUGGUCAUCAUGGGUGACCUAAACUAUACAGACAUAGUAUAUAGACAUACACUGGGAAGAGCAGUCAGCCAGGUCUGACCACUCACGUAGGUUCCUAGCCGAGUUACAGGACCUCCAUCUAACCCAGGAGGUGCACAGUCCCACCAAGGGAGACGCCUUGUUGGACCUGGUCCUGGCCAUGGGCGAUCACCUGGUGAGUGAAUUGCAGGUUCUCGACCACCUGGGUGAUAGUGAUCAUUGCCUACUGGAAUUCACCAUCCAGCGCAGGGUGUCAAAAGCCUGCAGCAAGGCAACAGCCCUAGACUUCAGGAAGGAGGAUUUCAAUGAGGUAAGGAGACUAGUCGGGGAGGCACUGAGGUCCUGGAGGGGAGGGGAGUUGGGAGUCCAGGAAGAGUGAUAGUUUUUAAAGAGACGAUCCUCCAAGCCCAGAAGGUGACAAUCCCAACGUGGAUCAAAGGGGGCAAGAGUGCUCAAAAACCCCCAUGGCUCACCAAAAGCAUCCAGGAACAUCUCAAGGCUAAAAAGGAGGCAUACACCCAAUGGAAGGGAGGGGCCAUCACCAAGGAGGAUUAUACCUCCAUUGCUCAAGACUGUAGGGGGGCUGUUAGGAUGGCUAAGGCAGAGACAGAACUGGGACUAGUGACCCAGAUCAAGGAUAACAAGAAGUCCUUUUUUAAAUACAUAGGGGGUAAAAAGAAGGUACUGGGUAACUUAGGGCCUCUGUAGGACACGCUAGGAAAUCUGGUGAUCACACCAAAUGACAAAGCUAACCUCUUUAACAAUUUCGCCUCCAUUUUUUUGAGCAGGGACCGCAGCAUCCCUGCCACUGGGCUCCCCGAUGGACCCAAGGGAGGCGUUGCCAGGCCCAGGGUCAGUGAGGACCUAGUCAGGGAACUUCUGGUGGGACUAGAUGUGUUCAAAUCAGCAGGUCCUGACGAUCUCCAUCCCAGAGUGCUGAGGGAAUUAGCAGAGGUCAUUGUGGGACCCCUGACUCAGCUUUAUGAGCACUCAUGGUGCUCUGGCGAGGUGCUGGAGGACUGGAAAAGGAACAAUGUGGUCCUCAUUUUCAAAAAAGGGAGGAAGGAGGACCCAGGAAACUACAAGCCCAUUAGUCUUACCUUGGUAUGGGAAAGCUCUUUGAGAAAAUUAUCCAGGAGCACAUCUGUGAGGGACCAGCAGGGGAGAUCAUGCUUAGGGGCAACCAACAUGGGUUCAUUUGAGGCAGAUCCUGUCAGAUCAACCCGGUAGCCUUCUAUGAUGAGGUCACAAAAUCCUUGGACUCAGGUGUCACGGUGGACGUAGUCUUUCUGGAUUUUAGGAAGGCCUUUGACACCAUCUCUCACCCCAUUCUCAUUUAAAAAUUAGGCGACUGUGGUGUUGAUGCCUACACAGUCAGAUGGGUCACAAAUUGGCUGGAGGGCCGCACCCAGAGAGUGGUGGUGGAUGGGUCUUCUUUGACCUGGAGGGAUGUGGUCAGUGGGGUCCCCCAGGGCUUGGUCCUCGGGACCGCACUGUUCAACAUCUUCAUCAGUGACUUGAUCGAGGGGGUGAAAAGCACCUUGUUCAAAUUCACAGAUGACACUAAGAUGUGGGGAGAAGUGGGCAUGCUGGAGGAGAGGGACAGGGUGCAACUAGAUCUGGACAGGUUACAGGGGUGGGCAGAUGAGAACAGGAUGGUUUUCAGUACUGACAAGUGCAAGGUACUGCACCUGGGGAGGAAGAACCAGCAGCAUACCUACAGGCUGGGGAACUCCCUUCUUGUCAACACAGAGGCAGAAAAGGAUCUUGGGGUCAUUAUUGAUGCCAAAAUGAACAUGGGCUGCCAAUGUGGGGACGCGGUCAGGAAGGCUAACCGCACCUUGUCAUGCAUCCACAGAUCCAUCAUGAGCAGGUCCAAGGAGGUGAUUCUCCCCCUCUAUGCGACAUUGGUCAGGCCACAGUUGGAGUACUGCGUCCUGUUCUGGGUGCCGCACUUCAGGAGGGAUGUGGACAGCAUCGAGAUGGUCCAGAGAAGGGCCACUCGCAUGAUCAGGGGGCAGCAGGGCAGGUCCUACGAGCGGAGGCUAAGGGACCUGAACCUGUUCAGCCUCCACAAGAGAAGGCUGAGAGGGGAUCUGGUGGCCAUCUACAAACUGGCCAAGGGGGACCAGCAGGCAAUGGGAGAGUCCCUGUUCCCCCAAGCAGUACCGGGAGUAACAAGGAAUAACGGCCAUAAGUUGAGUGAGAGUAGAUUCAGGCUAGAUAUCAGGAGGCGCUACUUCACAGUCAGGGUGACUAGGAUCUGAAACCAACUUCCAAGGGAAGUGGUGCUCGCUCCUACCCUGGAGGUCUUCAAAAGGAGGCUAGAUAUUCACCUAGCCAAGGUUGUUUGACCCCAGCAUUCUUUCCUGCCCAUGGCACGGGGUCAGACUUGCUGAUCUGCUUAGGUUCCUUCCAACCCUACCAGCUAUGAACCAACUAUGAACUAUUUCUAGAUCUGCAGGCUGUUUGAAUGAUAUUUUGCUUAUAACUAGUAUAUUACUCCUCUCUCUCUGGUUUUGGCUACCAUAAUAUUUCGGGCCCCCAAAAAAAAACCAACCUUGCCUGUUCAUGCUGAUAUCAAAAUCCUACUUCAAACAUUAAUUAUAAAUUAUCAUACAUAUUUUUGACAGAAUCAGUCUUGGAUCUGAGAGAACAAUGGCUGAUUUACAGCCAUUUCCUUCCUGUGGUCAGCACUCCCACAAUACUAGUCUGUUUUCAGUCGGGACAUGAGCUCUGCCUACAGUGUAAGAGACAAACAGUUGAAAAUUCAACACUUCAAAGGUGUUCUGAGACAGAGGCCUUGGUUUAGGAGUUUCGGAAGUUGGAGAGCAGGUUUGGGGACUAAUAUGAACAUAACAUCAUCAAGCAAGAAAACAAAUACAACCAAGAGAAGUGCAUGCAAAUCCAUCUGCUCCUGGAAGUGCCAUUUAGAGCAUUGGUACCUUUAUACAACUUACAAUUUUGGAAGGUAAAGCCAGUACACACAAGACUGGACUCACCUCACUACUGAAGCCACAUCUGGAGUACUGUGUCCAGUUUUGGGGCCCCCCUCUAUGGAAAGGAUGUGGGCAAAUUGAAGAGAGUCCAGGAGAGAGCAACACAAAUGGGAAAACCAGGAUCCAUGCUUAUGAGAUGAGAGACAAAGAGGAGAUUUAAUAGCAGCCUUCAACUACCUGAAGGGUGGUUACGAAGAGGAUGGAGCUAAACUGUUCUCCAUGGUAGCAGAUAACAAAACAAGGAGCAAUUUUCUCAAGUUGCAGCAAGGGAGGUUUAGGUUGGAUAUUAGGAAAAACUCUCUCACUCAGAGGGUGGUGAAGCACUGGAAUGGAUUAUCUAGAGAGGUGGUGGAAUCUCCAUCCUUGGAGGUUUUUAAGGGCUGGCUCAACAAAUCCCUAGGUGGAAUGAUCUAGCUGGGGGUUGUCCUGGUUUAACCAGGGGCUGGGCUAGAUUACCUUCUGAAGUCAUUCUAACACUAAUUUUUUAUGAUUCUGUUUGUCUGGAAUAGUUUAGAAAGGGAUCAAUCUACCUGGAGCAGGGGGUGGAAUAAGUGACCUCCUGAGGUCCCCUCCCAUCUUGUAUUUCUAUUGUUCCGGGUAUGAUAGCAUGUUCUUGGCUAUGGAACUGCUGGGACAUAACCAUCACCACUACUUUGUGAAGCACUGUGAAACCAGCUGGGUAAGUAUUGUAAUGGGAGAUGUCAUUUAUGUGAUACAAAUCCACACAAAAUCAGAUGGCCCUCUGGUUUUGGCAGCUGGGUUACCAAGUUAUGGGAGGGGCUAUGGAAUUCCUCAGUCACCACCAAUUUAAGUAUCUCUUACCAGAACCCUUUUUCAUUCCUUCUGGCAUCUGAUAGGAUUUCUGAAUGGGUUUGCUGCCUGGUUGUACCCACUGUCAUCCACCAGAUCUGGAGGUCCACCUCAAUAUGAGAGAGAGCAUGCUGUUGGUUGCCAGUUUGUUCUUGCUUUUAACUAGUGAGCCCCUCUACAAGUGGUACCUCCUACAAGCUCACUGCUUUGGGUAUCUCAGGCACCAGAUCUUCUUCCCUGGGAGUGAAGAGAGCUUGCUGUACCCUUCAAACCUGUUUUAAGUUUACAUAGUAUAAUCAUAGAUCUUCUGGGUUAUUAAGCCUGGUGUCCUGCAUUUGCAUUCACAUACCAAAGGAAACCCCAGAUUGCCAAUUCAAAUCCUCAAACACAACUACAAGACAUUGUAGCACAGGGGCAGAGGGCCACAUAGGCCUGUGGGCCAUGUAGGCAGUUCUGGGGAACUGUUACAGGCUGGUCAGCAACCCCUAUCCCACCCCCCACUACAGCCCAGAGCCUGAACACCUGGCAGCUCUUCCCCACGAUCACCACCAGUGCACCAAGCAGCAGAUGAGCACACAGCCCCAGUCCUGGCUGACCCCGCACCCACUCCAGACUUGCCCUGGCCAGAGUGGCACAGCUGUGGACCAGCUGGGAUCUGUGCACACAACCCCAACCCUGGCCUUUCCUUCACCUGCUCCAGACCGCCCACCCACACUGAGCAGCAGCAGCAAUUGGGUAGUAGCUGCUGCUGAGAAUGGGGGAAGAGUGGCCGCUUCUCCCUCACUGCUGCUGGGCCCUUCUUGCUGCAGCUGCCUGAAGCCCAUGCCCUGGCUGCCCUGCAGCUCUUCUCCACUACCUCUAGGCC
Alligator mississippiensis (American alligator) is the source of this 6527-nucleotide long non-coding RNA. RefSeq lists it as uncharacterized. The record is from RefSeq and is a predicted model, not a curated record. NCBI's taxonomy places the organism in Eukaryota, Metazoa, Chordata, Crocodylia, Alligatoridae. The transcript has 5 exons.